RNAcentral lists this unclassified non-coding RNA (406 nucleotides) under soil metagenome. RNAcentral describes it as "partial contains 5.8S ribosomal RNA, internal transcribed spacer 2, and large subunit ribosomal RNA". The stretch from base 1 to 121 matches the Rfam family "5.8S ribosomal RNA", at positions 35 to 154 of the family's 154-position model. The record is from RNAcentral.
GAUGAAGAACGCAGCGAAAUGCGAUAAGUAAUGUGAAUUGCAGAAUUCAGUGAAUCAUCGAAUCUUUGAACGCACCUUGCGCCCUUUGGCCAUUCCGAAGGGCAUGCCUGUUUGAGUAUCAUGAACACCUCAACUCUUCAUGGUUUUCCGUGAUGAGCUUGGACUUUGGGGGUCUUGCUGGCCUAUGGUCAGCUCCUCUAAAAUAAAUCAGCUUCCCAGUGUUUGGUGGGUAUCACAGGUGUGAUAACUAUCUACGCUUGUGGUUUUCCACCAGGUAACCUUCAGCAGUGGAGGUUCGCUGGAGCUCACAGAUGUGUCUCUCCUCAGUGAGGACAGCUCUUUGAAUGUUUGAUCUCAAAUCAGGUAGGACUACCCGCUGAACUUAAGCAUAUCAAUAAGCGGAGGA